This 253-nucleotide ribosomal RNA is filed under the name uncultured bacterium. RNAcentral's name for it is "partial 16S ribosomal RNA". It matches the Rfam family "Bacterial small subunit ribosomal RNA", at positions 524 to 776 of the family's 1533-position model. The record is from RNAcentral.
UACGUAGGUGGCAAGCGUUGUCCGGAUUUAUUGGGUUUAAAGGGUGCGUAGGCGGCCCUGUAAGUCAGUGCUGAAAUAUCCCAGCUUAACUGGGAGGGUGGCAUUGAUACUGCGGGGCUAGAGUACAGAUGAGGUAGGCGGAAUUGACGGUGUAGCGGUGAAAUGCUUAGAUAUCGUCAAGAACACCAAUAGCGAAGGCAGCUUACUAGGCUGUAACUGACGCUGAGGCACGAAAGUGUGGGGAUCAAACAGG